AUGACUGCUGGGUCUCCAGCCUCAGGUCUGGAACUGCCUUCGCAGCCACACCUGGACAGUGGCCCAUUUAGCAGAAAAGCCAGGGGCGAUCUCCUCGGGGAGCUUUGUGCUUGUAUUAUAAACUGAAAUAGCCCCCCAGGUCUCUGGGAAGGAGAGGACCUCGCUGCAGAAACAUUUUUCCAGAAAGAGGAGCCGCGUUGAGUUGCCUGAAUAACGUGGGGUCCAGCGCCACCUAGUGCCCGCUGUGGUGCUUGGCGUGCGUCCUGAGCUCUGGAUGGGGCGUUUUGGAAAGCGGCUGUAACCAGGAGAGGGGCUACCAUUCUCUGCGUGCAGGGCUGUCCUCAUGCCCACGACAAGGGUCUGUGAUUUUGGUGUGAGAAGCUGAGGAGCUACAAUCCUAAUGCGUCACAGAUGCAGGUGUUGGGAUUCCUGCACCAUGAGGGGGUAACCAGCUAUUGCAGAGGCAGCUACAGUAUCCAGGAGGUUCUGGAGGAGAUGAACACCCUUCUAGCUCAGAGGACACUUCCUGCUCUGGACCAGUGUCUGUGACCCCAAGGCUUGACUGGACCCUUGCGGCUGAUAAAGAUGGACGUUUGUGGCCAGCACAGGAGCAGAGUCCUCCACAGCAGCCCAGCAGAGCUAAUGCAUUCAAAGGGAGAGGAAUAAAAGCCUGAUGAGGAGCUGUUAGGGAGAGGAGUGGUGUGGCAUCCUCUCUCCCUGGUGGUGAAGCCAGUUUGAAAACCUCUUGAUUUCUCCUCAGGCUCCAUUUCUAAUUUAAGGUGUCCCCACCCAGCUUGGCAAACUCUGUGCCUCUCCAGGAGAGAGGAAAUAGCUUCCUAAGAUGGGCGCAGGAAGAACAAAGGCCUCAUUAGGAUCAAUCACUUAUUCUGAGCCUACAUUCCCAAGAAUCUCUAUCGAUGAUCUCGGGUACAAAUGAAGUGGUAAUUAAGGGAAUAAUGCAAAUGAUGUUCAGCUUAGUAACUCCCCUUGUAAUUGAAAUUUACUAAAUUAAGUCUGAGAUUUUUGAAACUAGGUCUUUAAAAAAAAAAUCCCCGAUUAUAAUCACCCCCUCUCCUCCUUCCCACCCACCCCUCCUUAAUGUAAUUAGUUUAAAAUAAGAUCUGUGGUAUGGAUGACGGUGCGCUGCCUACGGAUAUGUUGAAGUGGCGCUUGCUCUCUGAAAUGUUGGUCUCCUAUAAACAAUCCUGGGAAGCGAUUGAGGAGAGGGGGCUGGUAUUGGCCGGGCUGCUGUUGCGUUGUCAACCACAGGAUAAGGAAACUGGACACAGGGCUGGUGGCACUGGCGAUGCUGGACAGGGAGAGAAUUCUCAGCUUCUCUCUUCCGUUCCUUCCCUCCGCACCUUCAGAUCUGGUGCGAGCUGAGGACCCUGCAGAGGAAGGAGUGAAUGGUUGCUCUAUUGGGGUGGGAGAGGAAUUGGAAUCUUUCUGCAGUCCUGACCUGGUGCCAACAUGGGAGGCAGAGGGGUGAGGGGAGAUCGGAAACCCAUCUCUAUUUUCUUAGAGGCCAGGGAGCUUAAGCUCAAACUGAAAUAGCCCUGGGACUCCUCUGAGUCCUGUCCUCUGCCACCUGAUGUGACCAUCAUUGGCCUUAACAUUUCUCUUGACCUGCCCCAGUGGAGAGCCAAGCACACCAGUCUCAGCCUGCCCAGUGGAACCCCAGAGGAGCCCUGUGGCUGGAGGUGAGGACCUAGAAGGUGCUCCAGCCUCCCCAUCCUCAUCCCCAGUUUGGCCCUCAUCCAAACCAGAAAGAAGGCUGAAAGUUGUCCUGAGGACCUCUGACAUUCCAGAAGAGCAACAUUGGCCUGUUUCAUUUACGUCUGAUGAAAAGACCUGUCUGUCUUUGAAAUCACGCUGCAAUUUCCUCGAGCAACUGGCAGAAUGGCUGUGUGAGAACAGGAGAGAACCUCCCAGGGCUGGCUUCCUCAUUCUCUGCCCCUCCGCUCGCCCCACCCUCCUGGCCCACAGCUUCUGGAAACUGUUAAGUAAACACAGAAACAGCUGGAGCUAGUUGACCCUCACACAGCAGUCAGAGGCUGCGAGGUCCAUCCUAGAACUCCGCAAAACAGCAGCUCUCUGGUGGGUAGCACGGACCUAAAAGAAAAUGUUUUCUCCCACUGACCCCCACCCUUUUAUUUUUUUAU
Long non-coding RNA from Equus quagga, 2162 nucleotides. RefSeq lists it as uncharacterized. The transcript has 3 exons. The record is from RefSeq and is a predicted model, not a curated record. NCBI's taxonomy places the organism in Eukaryota, Metazoa, Chordata, Mammalia, Perissodactyla, Equidae.